Molecule: transfer RNA, 72 nt
Filed under: Bos taurus (domestic cattle)
Lineage: Eukaryota; Metazoa; Chordata; Mammalia; Artiodactyla; Bovidae
Also listed under: 4 other names
Rfam family: tRNA
About the family: Transfer RNA (tRNA) molecules are approximately 80 nucleotides in length. Their secondary structure includes four short double-helical elements and three loops (D, anti-codon, and T loops). Further hydrogen bonds mediate the characteristic L-shaped molecular structure. tRNAs have two regions of fundamental functional importance: the anti-codon, which is responsible for specific mRNA codon recognition, and the 3' end, to which the tRNAs corresponding amino acid is attached (by aminoacyl-tRNA synthetases). tRNAs cope with the degeneracy of the genetic code in two manners: having more than one tRNA (with a specific anti-codon) for a particular amino acid; and 'wobble' base-pairing, i.e. permitting non-standard base-pairing at the 3rd anti-codon position.
Source: Rfam by way of RNAcentral
UCCUGGUUGAUCUAGUGGCUAGGACUCUGUACUUCCAGUGCAGGGGCCCAGGUUUGAUCCCUGGUCAGGGAA